RNAcentral lists this long non-coding RNA (461 nucleotides) under Sinocyclocheilus anshuiensis. RNAcentral's name for it is "lncRNA (ENSSANG00000036130.1)". The record is from RNAcentral. Lineage: Eukaryota; Metazoa; Chordata; Actinopteri; Cypriniformes; Cyprinidae.
GUGACACAGAGGGAGGUGACAGAGGGAGUUUAAAAGGAUCGGUCAGUUUAUGGCAAAUAACUCUGUUAGUUGAAGUUCUCAGUGACACAGAUUCCGGACUCACAGCGGGAAUAAUGAUGUUCUGCAGAGUGGCUUGGCAAAGACUUGCACCUCUGGCACGCAAAACACUCACUCCGUUCAGCAAUGCUGUGUUCCCUACGCGACAGAUGUCCUUUGGUCUACCUGCGUCCGGCACAAACAUAGCUUAAAUGGUACUUGGUGGAAGCUCGCUUACUGCUGCUCUUGUUUAUGUAUGUAAUUUUUAUUUCUUCAUCCUGUUUUAGAAUACGUUGUUAAUAUUAUAAUUUAACAAAAACAUCCAUUUAUCCUCAUCUAAACUCUUUUUCCUCCUUACAGGCCUAUAAGACAAUAAACUCUGACAGUGCAAGAUAUAAUGAAAGAAUUGCUCAACUCGAGGCCAG